Molecule: ribosomal RNA, 421 nt
Filed under: uncultured bacterium
Lineage: Bacteria
Description: bacterial SSU rRNA
Rfam family: Bacterial small subunit ribosomal RNA
Source: RNAcentral
UAAGGAAUAUUGGUCAAUGGACGCAAGUCUGAACCAGCCAUGCCGCGUGGAGGAUGAAGGUCCUCUGGAUUGUAAACUUCUUUUAUUUGGGAAGAAAUCUAUCUUUUCUUGGAUAGUUGACGGUACCAGAUGAAUAAGCACCGGCUAACUCCGUGCCAGCAGCCGCGGUAAUACGGAGGGUGCAAGCGUUAUCCGGAUUCACUGGGUUUAAAGGGUGCGUAGGUGGGCAAGUAAGUCAGUGGUGAAAUCUCCGGGCUUAACCCGGAAACUGCCAUUGAUACUAUUUGUCUUGAAUACUGUGGAGGUCAGCGGAAUAUGUCAUGUAGCGGUGAAAUGCUUAGAUAUGACAUAGAACACCAAUUGCGAAGGCAGCUGGCUACACAAAUAUUGACACUGAGGCACGAAAGCGUGGGGAUCAAAC